GACAGAGGGUGCAAACGUUGUUCGGAUUUACUGGGCGUAAAGCGCGUGUAGGCGGCUUGGCAAGUCGGAUGUGAAAGCCCUCGGCUUAACUGAGGAAGUGCACCCGAAACUGAGUAGCUAGAGUACGAAAGAGGGUCGCGGAAUUCCCGGUGUAGAGGUGAAAUUCGUAGAUAUCGGGAGGAACACCGGUGGCGAAGGCGGCGACCUGGGUCGAGACUGACGCUGAGGCGCGAAAGCGUGGGGAGCAAACAGG
RNAcentral lists this ribosomal RNA (253 nucleotides) under uncultured bacterium. RNAcentral describes it as "partial 16S ribosomal RNA". It matches the Rfam family "Bacterial small subunit ribosomal RNA", at positions 524 to 776 of the family's 1533-position model. The record is from RNAcentral.